Etheostoma cragini (Arkansas darter) is the source of this 122-nucleotide long non-coding RNA. RefSeq lists it as uncharacterized. The transcript is spliced from 3 exons. The record is from RefSeq and is a predicted model, not a curated record. Lineage: Eukaryota; Metazoa; Chordata; Actinopteri; Perciformes; Percidae.
UGGAAUAUUAACAACAAACUUUCGUCUAGAAAAAACUUUGUUCGCAAAUGUUAGCUUGAAUGUUGUGCGAUUCAGUGCAAAAAUGAAUGGAAACACCUUAAAAGGUCUGAAAUCAAUUUGAU